AGGGCAGCCUAGAAAUGAUAUUUUAAAUUUUAAAAUUAAUCUUUUACAAAGAUAACAGUUGCGAUUUAUAUAAAGCAUUUUGUUUUUCAAAACAGGAACGCUAAUAGAAACGUUAUCAUAUUCUAGGUUUUAUGAACAGUUUACUUCAAAAAGAAGGGUCGUUGUUUUUUUCCACAACUUGUUGGUAUCAUAUAGAUGUUUUUUAAAAUGACUAAAACUAGGAACAUAUUGUUCCAUACGCUAAAAGUUUUUACCAUUUGUGCAACGUGAUAAAUAUGUAUUACAGGGUGAUAUAUUUAAAAUGCCUUAUUUAAUUGAAAAUACCCAUGUGAGAUGUUGCCAAGUAGUGAGAGCACAAGUUAUUGAGGUUUCGUUUCCUAUGUACUAAAGUGUAGUAGAGUUGUAUAAAUCUGAAAAAACAGGAUUUUUAUUUAUUGCGACUAUGGGAGGUAAGCAUGUCAUAAAAAAGUCUGCUGAGCUUUUAUUGUUUUUUCAGAUAGAAUAGUACCAAAUAGUAUUAAAAAUCCUGUUGUGAUACGUCACAACGGAGAGAAAAAAUAUCGUAAGUAAAGAAAAAAGUUAAGGAAAUAGAAAGUUAAAUUUUAUUUUUUUCUUUUUCAGGCACAUAGACGCAUGAGGCAGCGCUUGAAAGAAAUGAUUCGUAUAGAACUGUGUGACGAUUUGCCAACAGGGUCACACUUUCUAUCUCACGAGUCUUUCACCAUAUGGACCGGGGGCAACUACACCCUGAUGUAGAAUUAUCUUACAUUAAGGGUGGUUUAGGUUUUAUUGUGUUUAUUAAAAGGAUAGAAGUCUAAAAUGAGAUUGAUGUUGUAUUCUUUCUCUAGAGAUAAUCAUCCUAUAUUAAAAAUCUGUAGAGUUUACUCAAUCUUGAAGCAACCACAGGGUAAAUGAAACUGUAGACAAUCUUAAAAGAUCCAUUUUGUAUCUAUAAUAUAUAGUACAUCAUAAAAGGAUAACGCUAACUUGUGUAACUUUUGACGUAGCGAUUUGUGGACAUAAACUAUAUAAAAGUAAAUACAUAUGCAUAUAACUAUAAACAUGAUGACUUCGGUAACACGGGUGCUGCACCGAACCCCUUUUAAGAAACAAGGAGUAAGAAAACAAAUACAUUAAACGAGGAGUACACCAAAUAGAUUAUGAAAAUAAGGCAGUGACACAUUUUAGAAACUUGUGGAAAAUGACGAAGGAAUUUUUAGGAGACCCAAAGUUUUAACUUUAGAGCUCAAGUCAAUAACUCAACAUUAGAUGGUCAAAAUGCACAUGAGAUAUCAAAGAAAAAUAAUAGUAAUAAAUAAUAAUCAGUGAGUGUUAUAGAAAAAACCUCAGAUAAUCAUUUAUAAAAUCAAAAGUGCCGUAAACAACUCUUGUGGCUUAUAAAAGCUGCUGAUAUCUUUUAAAGCUUAUUAAAUUAGAAGUGACCAUGUAAGUGUAAUCAACUUUAUAUUAUUGGUAAAAUUAAUGAAUUAUGUUUUUAGGAACGAGUUUGUAGAAAAAUUUAAGAAAUCGGCUACAUACCAGCUGGCACCGGUAGGUACCCGCUGGGUCUUUUGUGCCCCCGACCCCUUUGUGGUAAUUAAAAAUAGAUGUAGGUCGUUUUAUAAUAUUUUUAAACCGAAAAUUUAACAUAUUUUUUGCAGGGUGUCUGGUUCGACAUAACGCGUAAGUAAACAAGAGGUUUUAAAAUAAAAUUAGUAUGUUAAAAACGUACCUUUUUUACAGCGAGCCAACGGAAUUGUAAGUACUCAAAAUGUAAAACCGAUCCAAAAAUCAUCGAUUUUCUUUUUUUCUAGUGUAUCAACGGCAUCAGGACUUUUGGUCCUAAAUGACCCGUGAGUUUCUAAUCUUCAAUUUUAUAUUAAAACAGAAAUAAUUAUUUCAUAUUCUUUUUUCAGAGAUCUGAUGAGAACUUCGCCGGUUGUAAGUAUUUAAUAUAUAAAACUUUAUGAAAUUUUAUAUUUUGUAUGUACUAAUCUGUAGUAACAUUUUUUCAGAUGGAAACAUAAAAAUAAAAAAUAGAGUUUUUCUUGUUUUUAAUUACCCUCGCCCAGUACUUAACCAAAGUCCUUUAUUCCCCCAUUAUCCUGAGGGUGAAGUAGUCAAGUUUUAUAGAAAUUUGAUGAAAGUGUCUACCUCCCCGCUUGGUCACCCUUGGACAACUUUUUAUGUUGACUAACAGACACAACUUACCAAAUAUUAUUCAUAAAUUAACAUAAAUGAAUUAAAUGUAAGCUUUUAACGGUCUAUUUUAUUCUAAAAUAAUUUUAAAAGACUACAGUUUCAACUGCUAAAAAUAAGUAGUGGUGUUUAUUUUGAAAAGUGUUCAUAAAAUGUAAAAUUGUAUUAAAUAUAAUUAUUUGUAGCGAUGAUAUGUUGAAGUUGUUGGGAGAGCCGGUCCUCUACGAGUAAGUUAUUAAUACACAAAUAUUUAUAUCAUUACAUUUAAAUUCUGAUAUAGAAUAUACGAGAUAUCCGACCUGAAAUGAUAAUACGUUUUAAAAAAAGAAUAAAAACAGAAUAAUCAUUUUUUAGCUGUGAAGUUCUGACUAGCGCGUCAGAAGACGAAAAUUAUUAGAGGAAAUGCAUUUCAUUUCUAAACAGUGUAUAUUCUUCCUCUAUUAUUUUAAUAACACAAUAAUAGCCACUUUCAUCCAAUCAACCCAGUUAUCCCUCUAACAUUAGAAAAUUGAAAGAAAAAAGCCCUAGAAAAAAUAUGUCAAGUUUGUAAAAAUGUUUUAUUUUAAAAACACUAUAAGUAUUUUCGAAAAAUUAAACUGAAACAAAAAAAUGAACAACCAACUUAGCUAUCCCCUCUAACAUUAGAAAAUUGAGAAAUCAUAAUAGAAAAGAAAAAAUCCCUAGAAAAUUAUGUCAAAAUUUGUAAAUUUUUUAUUUUAAAAAGCGCUAUAAUUAUUUCGAAAAACUGAAACAAAAAAUGAGCAAGGCAUGAAUUGUUUUUUCUAAAACUAUUUUAUAUUCCGUUGAAAAAUAAGGUUAACAUUGACAGAUAGUUACCAGAAGCAUGAGUGAAAACUAUUAAAAAGUAUAUGUUACAAAUACCCGCUUAUUUUCCACAAUAAGGUAUGUUAUUCCUCUCUAGGGAGCGGUGGUACAUAUGUCUCCUCAUCCCUUGGAAUGGAGUAUUCUCGCUCUACACUUUCCCGUAUCUUUACCACCCCCGACAGAAGAAAGACACCACCUGCUCACUGGUUUCUAUUGCUAAGAUUAAAUACUGCAAGUCAGGUACGUGUCAGAUACAUGUCAGGUAUGUGUCAGAUAUACGUCAGGUGUACGUCAGUCAGGUACGACAGCUUACACGUCACAGCUUUGGCAGAAGCGACAGCUUACGUGGUACAGCGUUGCUAGAAGCGACAGCGUCGUUAGAUGGGUCAGCUUACGUGUCACAGCGUCGUUAGAUGGGUCAGCUUACGUGUCACAGCGUCGUCAGAUGGGUCAGCUUACACGUUACAGUGUCGUCAGAUGGGUCAAAUAACGUUGACAGCUAUGACAGAUAACGUUGACAGGUGUCACAUCGUCGUCAGAUGCGUCAGCUUACGCGUCGUCAGGUACGUAUCAGGUACGUGUUAGGUACGUGUCAGGUACGUGUCAGAUACGCGUCAGGUACGUGUCAGAUACGCGUCAGGUAUGUGUCAGAUAUACGUCAGGUGUACGUCAGUCAGGUACGUGUCAGUGGAAAGGCAGAUAUCAAUGCUGUAAAUAGAACUUCACUCGCAUAUAAUGUUCAUUUAAUAUCAGGAUGUCAGAUAAGCAACAGGUGCCAAAGCUUGCUAAAGCUGUUCGAGAAAAGUAUAAUUUACUUAAAAGGUCUGAACGUGGCCAUGAAGAACAGCUUCAACGUAUAUUUAAACCUGUGACAGAACCACUUGAAACUAUAUUAUCAAAUCAAGACGGACAUAUACAACACGUAACAGAACAACCAAAUCACGAUUUACAGGAUAUAGAGCAGCCACCAUCAAAUCAAUACAGUGUUACAUGCAACGACAAUGAUUCGAUAUAUGGACCUGUGCUUCAAAAUAGAGAAUUCAAUGACGAAAAUAUAAUUGUAGACAACAAAAUAUUUAAAAAUACACCCGGCUUACAACAGCUAGUGUUUUGCAGAACCCCGCGAGCUUUUACCAUCACCGAUUUGCAACUAUAUAGGCAAAUAUUGGAACUGUCGGGGUACAUAGAGAUUCAAGAGGGUUUUUAAAACAUCAACAACGAUCAACUAAAUUUGAUGAGAUUAUUAAGCCUCUAUGUAAGAACAAUUGCCGUAGAAAAGUGAGGAAAUAUCCAAGACAAACUACGUGGCUCCAAGGUUGGACAGACCCGAACGUACUUGUUGAUCGUCUAAAACAGCUCAACAGAGAAGAUGACGAAUUCCAUCAAAUAAUUCACGAACUUAAGACAGCAGGUAUCAUCGAAUAAAAAUAAGUUGAAUUCCGUUCUACAGCGAAGAUGCCAAAUGGACCAAAUAAUCUCGUAAACACACUUAAAUAUCUAAACAAA
This is a long non-coding RNA of Diorhabda sublineata, 4530 nucleotides long. RefSeq lists it as uncharacterized. The record is from RefSeq and is a predicted model, not a curated record. The transcript is spliced from 2 exons. NCBI's taxonomy places the organism in Eukaryota, Metazoa, Arthropoda, Insecta, Coleoptera, Chrysomelidae.